RNAcentral lists this ribosomal RNA (302 nucleotides) under uncultured bacterium. Its description in RNAcentral is "bacterial SSU rRNA". It matches the Rfam family "Bacterial small subunit ribosomal RNA", at positions 770 to 1074 of the family's 1533-position model. The record is from RNAcentral.
ACCCAAUAGAUACCCUGGUAGUCCACGCCGUAAACGUUGGGCACUAGGUGUGGGGUCUUUCCAACGGAUUCCGUGCCGUAGCUAAACGCAUUAAAGUGCCCCGCCUGGGGAGUACGGCCGCAAGGCUAAAACUCAAAGGAAUUGACGGGGGCCCGCACAAGCGGCGGAGCAUGUUGCUUAAUUCGAGGCAACGCGAAGAACCUUACCUGGGUUUGACAUGCUGGGAGAAGCCACAGAGAUGUGGUGUCCUGGGUCGUCAGCACAGGUGGUGCAUGGCUGUCGUCAGCUCGUGUCGUGAGAUG